This 523-nucleotide ribosomal RNA is filed under the name uncultured bacterium. RNAcentral's name for it is "bacterial SSU rRNA". It matches the Rfam family "Bacterial small subunit ribosomal RNA", at positions 1 to 521 of the family's 1533-position model. The record is from RNAcentral.
UAGAGUUUGAUCAUGGCUCAGAUUGAACGCUGGCGGCAGGCCUAACACAUGCAAGUCGAACGGUAGCACAGAGAGCUUGCUCUCGGGUGACGAGUGGCGGACGGGUGAGUAAUGUCUGGGAAACUGCCCGAUGGAGGGGGAUAACUACUGGAAACGGUAGCUAAUACCGCAUAACGUCGCAAGACCAAAGUGGGGGACCUUCGGGCCUCACACCAUCGGAUGUGCCCAGAUGGGAUUAGCUAGUAGGUGGGGUAAUGGCUCACCUAGGCGACGAUCCCUAGCUGGUCUGAGAGGAUGACCAGCCACACUGGAACUGAGACACGGUCCAGACUCCUACGGGAGGCAGCAGUGGGGAAUAUUGCACAAUGGGCGCAAGCCUGAUGCAGCCAUGCCGCGUGUAUGAAGAAGGCCUUCGGGUUGUAAAGUACUUUCAGCGGGGAGGAAGGCGAUAAGGUUAAUAGCCUUGUCGAUUGACGUUACCCGCAGAAGAAGCACCGGCUAACUCCGUGCCAGCAGCCGCGGU